Molecule: ribosomal RNA, 107 nt
Filed under: Fukomys damarensis (Damara mole-rat)
Lineage: Eukaryota; Metazoa; Chordata; Mammalia; Rodentia; Bathyergidae
Source: RNAcentral
AUCUAUGACCAUACCACCCUGAACACACCCAAUUUCAUCUGAUCUCAGAAGCUAAGCAGGGUUGGGCCUGGUUAGUACUUGGAUGGGAGACAAAUGCUUUGUACAUA